Molecule: long non-coding RNA, 3545 nt
Organism: Rhinolophus ferrumequinum (greater horseshoe bat)
Lineage: Eukaryota; Metazoa; Chordata; Mammalia; Chiroptera; Rhinolophidae
Exons: 5
Source: RefSeq, a predicted model, not a curated record
CUGGAUCUACUUGGUAGAACAUUCUUGUACUAAUCUUUCUUGUUUACCAGAUUUUUCUAUUAAUACAGUCUGAAAAGAACAGUUGCGCUCUCAUGGUGUGUUUCUGUUUGUUGUCAAACAGCAGCUGAUAUUUUAUCAAGUUAGCAGGCUUCCUAGUGCUGGGGAAACAGUCCCUUACCUUCUUCACCCCUGCCUUGGAAAGCUCUCACCAAAAUCACUGGACCUUUGACUCAAUACUUGGUCCUGUGGGCCGCCCCAGCUUGCUGUGAACAUGACUUUCUCGGGUUUCCUGAGACGGUGUUAAGACAAGUCUACGGGAGGCGUAAAAGUUCCCUGAAGACACGGGAAAGGCUAACAAAAAACCGAGCACCAAAGGAAAAGCAAUCUUCACUUCACUAUCCAAAAUGCCUGACGCUGAAGAGCACUCUGGGUUUGUUCCCCCAUCUCUUUUUCCUCUAGUUCCAGGAUCCAAACUCCUUUUCUCAGGCCUCAAGGAGAAAAUGUGAGAGAAUUGGACGCAAUUUUAGGUUGUAGAGAUGGAGCCACUUGAAAGAGACUGAAAAUCCAAUAAGGAAAAUUCUUGCUAGAAUGGAAACACCAUCUUGGCCGUCUUAAUUAUCACAGCUAAAUUCCCAGCAUCAAGCACAACGGUUUGCACACAGUAGGAGCUCAAUAAAAUGCUUUAGAAGGAAGCAAAUAAUGAAGGAACUAAUGCAAGAGAAAACAGAACCAAGAGUAUGGUUAUGGAAGGAGGCUUGAAUCAGCCUCGGUGCUUGAGGGGAUGUAAUUCCCAGAAAAUGGGCAGAGGGAGAUAAAUGUGUAGACAAGCGGGAAGGAAAACCAAGAAGUGUACACCAUCCUGUGGCCUGGAUUUCAUUUUAUUUUUUUAAAUUCUGAAGCAAGGUUGUCUGCCAAGGUUGGGGAAAGGAAAGUGGAGGAGGAAACCUGACUUGUCCAUCGAAUUAUUGCAAGACCUUCAUGUCGCCAAGGAAAAGCACCUUCUGUGUGCUGAGUGAGGUGCGUCAGGAGACGCUGCGUAUAAGAUUAAGCUCCUGUUGCUCAAUUAUUAGUGCAUCUGCCAGAUGAGGAUAAGAGAUGAAAAUCUCAGCCCAACCAACAGAAUGACAUUUUACUACCAAGCCCUUUGGAAAGUUCCUGGGGAAUCCUCUGCAUGUUGUUGGGCCAGCACCUUUCAUGGACCCCAAGAGAAUCAGGACACAGCCUUUCGGGCUUGAUGCAGAUGACAGCAGGCCUUGGGGAUGGUGGAACCAGAAGACAGAAGUACCUGGCCAUCAAACAGGAACACCUGCCAUUUUGGGAGAUAUAAACAACUUCAAGGAAUCUCCAACUUAAUUUUGUUGUCAGGUUAUUAAGAAGCAUAUAAUGCAAAAAGAAAAGUAUUGGUUUAUAGAUAAGUAGAUAAAUGUGUAGAAAAUUAGCCAGUUGAAUUCAGUAGCAUCUGAUCCUUUUACGGGGUUUUGGUUUUUGUAUUCUCUAAGAUUCAAUAGGCUUAUUUAUGUGGUUCCAGCAUUUGAAGGAAGAAAAAAUAAAGGCUUGGACAAUGGGAACAUCUCUAACUACGUGGUAAAGUUCAACUCAGAGCUAUUCCCUAUCAACUUACUUUUCGAACAAUAUAUUAGAAUUAAUUUUAAUACCAUUGUGGUUGAGUGGACAGUAAAUUCAAGAAACAUGAAUAUGGAAAAUUAAUUUAAAUGUAUAAUUACUAACAUUUAAUAAUUUGAAAUUACGUUUGAAAUAAUGUUACCAUUGUUCUGCUAAAAUUGUCUGAAAAAUAUUUAGUGUCCUAGUAGUUUUGUAAAAAUGUAACUGGUUAGUAUUAAGUAACUUGAGCAGUAAUUUUGAAAAGAACAGACUCCAGGAAGGAAAAGGAGUUUUGAGUUCAAACCAGAAGAACCUUGCAAAAGUUUGUUUGCUUGAGGUUUGAAAGAAUGAAAGAAACAUAGAUACUGGAAACAGUAAACAAGGUGGAAGGGAGAGAGGAAGGGGAAGAAAGGAGAUACCAUUCUGUUUUAGGAGGUUGUUGCUUUGCAGCACCAGGAUCAAUGGUACUGAAAUUUGGGAAACUGGGAAGGAAGCAGGAGGUGGGUGGUAGGGAAGGUGAAUUCUUUCUGAUGUCGACAUCACAUUUCAGACAUCAUCUGAAGAAUCACAUAGGCAACAUGAAUCUGUAGGUGACCUGAGUCUAAAGACAGAACAGAAGGUCAGGCAGGGAUGGAGAGGGAAGUCUGGUAAAACCCUGACUGACUUGGAGUAGCAGGGUGGUGGCCUGUUUCAAGGAAUGCCGGCAAUACAGAUGUGAAAGAGAAGGCCGCAGGCACAAACACGAAAAAAAAUACCCCAACAGAAAACGAAACUUACAACUGAUACCUAAUAAAAAAGGAGGGAUGCCCUGGCAUAAGAUUUAUUUCUUACAGAUCUUCGGGCCAUUCCAAGAGUACACAGGGCAGAUAUGUUAUGACCAAAAGCAGAAAUACUUACAUCUGUUACAUUUCUAACACUGCACAAGCUAUUUGUUCAUAGAUCUUCUCCACCAAAUUAAGCAACCUGGGAACAGACAUGGUUUCAUUCUCUGCACCUGACGCCUUGCACAGUUUCUAAGACUUGGUAGAUACUCAGGUAUCUGUUGAAUUUUAUUUUGCUGUUGUACAUAGGAAACCAAAGGACACAUUUUGGGGUUAUUAGAAAAGGGGAGUGAGGAGAUAGAUACACAGUAUCAAAAAAUCAUUUGUAGGGAAAAUGUUGUCCUAAGAAAAUUUAAUAUGAACUUAAUGGAUGUUUGGCCAGGUUGUUGGUCCACUGAAUGCUACUCACUUUUUGUUUCCUUUGAGCCAAGGAGGGUGGGAUUUCUGACUUUUUGCUUUCAUGCCAUUGGGAUUCAUGCACUUCUAUGCUGUAAACCUGACACUGUGAGGGAACAGGUAACUAAUAAAAAUCUCUGGAACAAAUCUCUUAAAUGUCUUAAAUGAAAUGAGCAAUGUAGGUUUAAAUUCCAGACACAUAUAUUUUUCCCCCCAAGGUCUCCCUCCAAAGCAACAUUCUCCCUCCAAAAGCAGAAUUCUUAAUACUGUCACCUUUUCUUGAAUUCUUAAUGGGCUAUACAAGCUGGUGUGGUUGUAUUUGAAGAAACAAAAAUAUUAAAAAGAAAAAAAGCACAAGAUUUCCUUUGCCUUUCACGAGAAGACUUCCAGCUUACUUCUUUUAAAAUAUUGCCCCUGAAUUGCAAAUUACUUCAUGGUCUUUUUUCAGUGAGCUCUCUUCCUAGACUGACACAGCCAGCUGUGCCACUGUCCCGUCUAUGGAAAUGAUGUCAUCAGUACUCUGUCCUUGAAUCAAACCACAAUCAUUACAUUUGGCUCUUUUUCACAUAGCAGGAACCCAAUAUAUUCUUGUUUACAGAAACGGCAUUUAGAAAGUUAUCACUUGUAGACUCUAUCAGUUGGCAACUUAAGUCAAAAGAGAGCUGAGCAUGAAUUACCUGAAUCCCUUUUUAAAGUAAAAGUUUUUUUAAUUGUAAUGCACUUAUU